RNAcentral lists this ribosomal RNA (319 nucleotides) under uncultured Pseudomonadota bacterium. RNAcentral describes it as "bacterial SSU rRNA". It matches the Rfam family "Bacterial small subunit ribosomal RNA", at positions 30 to 351 of the family's 1533-position model. The record is from RNAcentral. Lineage: Bacteria; Pseudomonadati; Pseudomonadota.
AUUGAACGCUGGCGGAAUGCUUUACACAUGCAAGUCGAACGGCAGCACGGGGCAACCUGGUGGCGAGUGGCGAACGGGUGAGUAAAGCAUCGGAACGUACCGUGUAGUGGGGGAUAACGUAGCGAAAGUUACGCUAAUACCGCAUACGCACUGAGGUGGAAAGCAGGGGAUCGCAAGACCUUGCGCUAUACGAGCGGCCGAUGUCAGAUUAGGUUGUUGGUGGGGUAAAGGCCUACCAAGCCGACGAUCUGUAGCUGGUCUGAGAGGACGACCAGCCACACUGGGACUGAGACACGGCCCAGACACCUACGGGUGGCAG